AAAGAGGAUCUAAAAUAUUCUUUUUACUUUUCUAAAGACAAAUGAAAUUAAGAUCCUGCUCUGAUAAUAUAAUGCUGAUCAACAAGCAAGAAACUGUGCAUGAUGAGAGGUGCCUAAGUAGAAAUAAAUGUUGGCCAGACAUGGGACUAAGAAAGUGAACCUCAAAAAUGGGCAAAGGAAAAAAAAAUCAGGUUUGUCUUUUGAAUGAGCUUUCCAAGGGAAUGUUGCUCAAGGAACAUGGCAUAAAAAUGAACUCUGGUUUUCACAAUCUCCAUUCGAAUAAGUAAGAAAAUAUUCCUGAGUUAGCUGCACAGGAAGCUUUCUGAAGAGCUAGGAAUAAAAGAGAACAUGUAGAAGAGGUGGAAGGAGGGACACAUAGCAAGAAAUGAAAAUGAAAGAGCUGCAUAAACUUCGGAAGGCAGUGUCAGAAGGGUUUAAGGGCCAGGGUUACUGAGGCUUGUGGAACUGCUAAAGACAAGGAAGGGCUUGGCAAGCUGUGUUCAAAGACAGACUGUGAACAAAGAAGGGAUAGGACCACUGCUGGGGGAAAUGGUAUGAAAUGUUUACCAGAUUUAUCAGUUUAUUAACCUUUUUAUGCCUUAGGUCUAGCACAGUGCCUGUCACCAUCCAAGUAUAUCACACAUGUGGAGGGAAUGGAUGGAUGAGGUGGUGAGGUAGUGAGAGUGAUUUCAAAAAUAGAAAAGCAGUAGAAUCAGUAUGAUUUUUAUAGAGAAAUUUCAAUACCAAAAUAAAAAGUAAAAUUAAUACAGGAACUUGGUGGAGUUCCUGUUGUGGCUCAGCAGCUUAAAGACCCUAAGUUCUGUCUGUGAGGAUGCGGGUUUGAUCCUUGGUCUUGCUCAGUGGGUUAAGGAUCCGGCAAAGAAGGUCACAGAUGCACCUUGGAUCUGGCGUUGUGGCUGUGGCGUUGGCCAGCAGCUGUAGCUCUGAUUUGACUCCUGGCCUGGGAAAUUCCUUAUGCUGCAGGUACAGCCCUAGAAAGAAAGAAAAAAUAUAAACAUAAAAAAUAAAUAAAGAGACUUGGUUAUUUAAAGUUAUAUCUCUCUGAUCAAAGUGUAGAAGUUUCAGAGUUCCUGUCAUGGUGCAGCAGAAAUGAAUCUGACUGGGAACCAUAAGGUUGUGGGUCCAAUCCUUGGCCUUGCUCAGUGGGUUAAGGAUCCAGCAUUGCCGUGAGGUCUAGGUUGCAGACAUGGCUGUAAUCUGAUGUUGCUGUGGUAUAGGCUGGCAGCUGUGGCCCCGAUGGGACCCUCUAGCCUGGGAACCUCCAUAUGCCGCAAGUAUGGCCCUAAAAAGCAAAAAAAAAACCCCAAAGUAUUGAAGUUUCAAAGAUGCAAUCACAGUAGUAAUCUACAAUUUCAAAAGGGAAAAAAGAAGAAGGAUGGAUUUCAGAUAUUUCAGAACAUUGAUGUGACUCUUUCCACCAUAAUUCUGUAUAUAACAUCUUAUGAAGCAGAAAACUUAGAAUGAUUUAGAUUAAAAAAGUAAUUUUAGAUUUUGCUGAGAAAGAAAGAUGUGAUCAAAAGUAGCUGAAUUUAUUUUUUUUUAUAGGUUACCUAGUCUAUUUAUGAAGAAAGUGCUCUCAUCAUUGUGAUUGCAGUAGACACCCUGGAAAAUUUCUCUUUUAUACUUAGAGGAAAUAUAGAGAAGGGUGUGUCACAUGAAACCAAAAUGGAAUGAGACAUUCCCAACCUCUGCUAUAUGACUCUGUGUUGGGCCUUGUCUUGUUCAAUAUUUUGAUCAGUGAUUUGGAUUAAAAAUAAACAAGCAGAACGGGUACUCAGAAAAUUUAAGUUUGACACAAAGCUGAAGACAAAAAUAAUAUUUUACUGCCAGUCCAAGCAAAAUGGCAUAUGCUCAUUGUUUUGGUUCAAGUUGCUAUAACAAAGUGCCAUAGAUCAGGUGGUUUAUAAACAACAGAAAUUUAUUUCUCACAGUCCUCAAGGCUGGAAGUAUGAGAUGAAGGUGCCAGCAUAGUCGGGUUUUGGUGAGGACCCUCUUCCAGGUUUCAGACUGAUGCCAUCUUCUCACUGUGUCCUCACAUGGUGAAGAGGUUAGGAAGACCCUCCGGGUUAAAGCCCCUUUUAUAAUGGGCAUGAAUUCCUUCCUCACAACCUAAUCGCCUCUCCACAUCCUCAGCUUCUGUUAUAUCAGUUAUAUCUGUUGUAUCAUCACAGUGGAGGUUAUAGUUUCAACACAUGCCUUUGGUAGGGACACAAACAUAUAGUCCCUAAGACUCAUCUCUUCCUGCCUCUCACCACUAGGCAUGACUAUAUACCCUCGAAGCAACACAGGACCCAACCAGAGGAUAAUUGCAAAAGGUGGUAUGGCAUUAAAUAAUGUCACUCUAAAAAUGUCUACAACCCAAUACCCAGAAUAUAUAAACGUGUUGCCUUACUGUGAUAAAAGAGACUUUGCAGAUGUGAUUAAAUUAAGGAACUGGAGAUGGAACUAGGAAGGCUCAGUGUGAACACAUGGGUUCUGAAAGAACCAGGUAGGAGGGUCUGAGGUAGAAAGGGAAGACUAUGUCGUGAUGGAGGCAGAGAGCGUUUGAAGCUGCUAUGCUGCUGGCUUUGAAUAUGGAGAAGGGGAACCACAAGCCAAGGAAUGCAGGUAGCCACUAGUUAGUGGGAAAAGCAGGAAACAGAUUUUUCCAGAAGAUACCAGUCCAACCUACACCUAGACUUUAGCCAAAUAAGACACAUUGUGGACUUCUGACCUCCAGAACUACAGAAAAAUAAAUUUGUGCUAUUUUAAAUCAUCAAAUUAGUGGUAGUUUGUUAUGACAUCAAUAGGAAACUAACACACAUGUAGGAGGAGGAAGAAUUGAUUAGGGACUUCAGAACGGAAGGAAAAACCGUAUGAUAGGGUGUCUCACAAACUUCCCUUCACCAUCGAAGAGAAGAUGACUCAUGCAUAUUCUAAUUCUUACCUAGUAGCUCACCUGCCCAGUUAGGCUCAUUCCUCCCCUUGACUAAACAGAAGACUAGCUAAACUAAAAUAUAAUGACAACACUAAAUAUUGGUGAAACUGGGUCAUGGAGAAACCAGGUCAAUUGUACAAUAUUGUUGGGAAUGUAAAAUGGUGAUCCAUUCUAGAAAACAGUUUGACACUUUCCUAUGAUAUUAUACAUGCAACUCCUAUAUGAUGCAGCAAUUGAUCUCCUGGGCAUUUAUCACAGAGAAAUGAAAUCCAUGCUCAAACAGAAAUCUAUGUAUAAAUAUCCAUAACAGUUGCAUUCAGAAUAGCCCCAACUGGAAACAAUCCAGAUGUUUUUCAAUAGGUGACUGGUUAAAUUGUCAGUGAUAUACCUAUAGCAUGGAAUGUUACCCAGUAAUAAAAGUAAUAUGAACUUUUGAUAUAUGGAAAAAUUUGAAUGAAUUUUUAGAUAAUUAUGCUGCUACAAAAGCCAAUCUUGACAAGUAUUUUUAUCCUAUUUAUAUAAUCUUCUUAAAUAGGCAAAAUUUUAGAAAUUGGGAAUAGAUUAAUUGCUGUAAGGGGUUAGGGAUGGAUGUCACUAUGAAAUGAGAUUACAAGGAAUCUUUUUGGAAAUGGAGCUUUGUCUUAUGUUGACUAUAUCUUUAUAUCUUGCUUGUAGUAUAGUUUUGCAAGAUGUUAUCAUUAGGGGAAACUUGCUAAAGAGAAUAUAGACUAUCUCUGUACUAUUUUUUAUAAUUAAUGUGAAUCUACCUCAAAAUAAAGAGUGUAAUUAAAAACAAAAGACUUCAUGGAAAACAAACCAAAAAUAAAUUUCAAUGGUGAUAGGAUAUUCAGCAGUGCCCUUAAUAACAGAUUUCCUCAGCUUUUAUUUAUCCUAAAAAGGUUUUAUUUCUCCUUUGUUUUUAAUAGGUAUUUUCAUUGGAAAUGAAAUACUGGGGUGACUUUUUCAUUUUUUCCCAUUCUUUAAGAUGUCACUCUGUUGUUUCCUGCCUUGUAUAGUUUCUGAUGAAAAACAUGUUCCUUUGUAUGUAAAGUUACCUUUUUCUCCCUAACUUCCUUUAGGACUUUAUCAUUCUCUUUGAUUUUCGGCUUCUAGUUCUUUUAUUUUUUUCUCCUUAAAGUUUUCUGUGCCAUUCCAGCAUGAAAACAUGAGCUAAAAGCAUAUUCUGGAGAUAAGUCCUUCACUUAGUUGUAGGAAAGGCACUUCCAAAGGCAAAUUAGGAGUUUCCUUGUGGUACAGCAGGUUAAGGACCUGGCGUUGUCACUGCUCUGGUACAAGUUCAGUACCUGGCCUGGAAACUUCUGCAUGCCACAAGAGUGGCCAAAAAAAAAAAAAAAGGCAGAUUAAGAACCUCUGAAAAUCCUUUUCUCCAUAAAAGCAUCAACAACAGUGCAAAAUAUCCAAAAUCAACAUUUUUCUGAAUUCUUCAAAAUAAUCCAAAUUUCACAACAGUCAAGGAACAUUUCUUCAAGAAAAAUGGCUGAAUCUUGGUAUCAUCAGCAGAUAAUGCUAUGCAAACUUACUUUCUAGCCAUGCUCUUCUUCCUGGCUUAAUGGAAUCCUUGAAAAUAAUUAGCCUCACUUCCAUAAUAGCUGUGAAAACCAGAGUCCACCAGCCAUUGUAGGGGCAAAAUUGCUUUGAAGCUUCCCUAAAGCCACUAAAGAAUUGUCACUCGAUUUGUAUGACAACUGUCCCUAAAAGCUUAUUUUAAAAGAUUUGUCUUUAUUUGACCUGACUCAGGAUUCACUCGUGGGAAAAACCCUGUCCAUAGAGUGUUUAUUGAAAACAGUGUAAAAGUUUAGAAAAAUUUAUUAAACAUGGCAGAAGAAGAAGAGAAAGAGGAAGAGGGGGAAGAAGAUGGAGAAAGAGCAUCUUGACUGCUGCAAUGAAAACAGAACUUGUAGCUAUAUCGGGGAAAGAGGACAGACAUAUGUCAAAUAAUGAGAGGACUGAGAAGAGACCUUUGUAUUUAGUGAUAUGGAUGUUACUGUGUUUUUGAACAAGAGCAGUAUUAUGAGGUGGAAAGGACAAAAGCUUGACUGGAGAAAGGUUAAGAGAUUAUGGAAAAAGAAUUGCGAACAGAUACAAUCUUAGACUCAUGAUAUUUUGGUCUUCCCAGUACUUUUGUUAAUCACACUUCGUUUUGUAGUUAUGGAAUGGAUACCCCAGAAACUGACCACAAAACGUAUUGCUAGUUAGUGCCAAACAAGGAGCUAGCACCCCAUUUCCUCACAUGUUAAAUAUCCUUCAGUCACACAAGAUUGCCUCCUUC
RNAcentral lists this long non-coding RNA (5228 nucleotides) under Sus scrofa (pig). RNAcentral describes it as "lncRNA (ENSSSCG00000063119.1)". Lineage: Eukaryota; Metazoa; Chordata; Mammalia; Artiodactyla; Suidae. The record is from RNAcentral.